AUUGAACGCUGGCGGCAGGCUUAACACAUGCAAGUCGAGCGAGCGGCGGACGGGUGAGUAAUGUCUGGGAACCUGCCUGAUGGAGGGGGUUAACUACUGGAAACGGUAGCUAAUACCGCAUACCAUCAGAUGUGCCCAGAUGGGAUUAGCUAGUGGGUGGGGUAAUGGCCCACCUAGGCGACGAUCCCUAGCUGGUCGGAGAGGAGGACCAGCCACACUGGAACUGAGACACGGUCCAGACUCCUACGGGAGGCAGCAGUGGGGAAUAGGGGACAAUGGGGGCAAGCCUGGUGCAGCCAAGCCGCGUGUGUGAAGAAGGCCUUCGGGUUGUAAAGCACUUUCAGCGGGGAGGCGUUACUCGCAGAAGAAGCACCGGCUAACUCCGUGCCAGCAGCCGCGGUAAUUC
Molecule: ribosomal RNA, 406 nt
Filed under: uncultured bacterium
Lineage: Bacteria
Description: partial 16S ribosomal RNA
Rfam family: Bacterial small subunit ribosomal RNA
Source: RNAcentral